This 909-nucleotide ribosomal RNA is filed under the name Triticum aestivum (bread wheat). RNAcentral describes it as "partial small subunit ribosomal RNA". The record is from RNAcentral. Lineage: Eukaryota; Viridiplantae; Streptophyta; Magnoliopsida; Poales; Poaceae.
AUGAAUCAUGACGAUUUCUGGCGUGUGAGGACAGUCCGGUCCGGCACGGGGAUGAAUUUGACGGCCCAGCCGAUGGGCCACGACACGGCGGCGAUUGCGAGGCAGACGGCCCACUGCCCCAGCCCCAGCCUCUUGGUGCCGGCGAACCUGGUGAGCACCUCCACCAUGACCACCUGCAGCAUGAGCGUGACGGCGAUGAUGACCAGGAACAUCCUGUUCUUGAGCACCCCGGCGAACACGUUUUUCUUCUCGAUCUCCCGCGCGUUGAACUCGUUGAACACCUGGCAGAGCACGAAGGCGUUGAAGAUCAUGGUGCCGUUACCCUUCUCGUCGGUGCCGAAGACGUCCCGGCCCCGGUACUGGAGCGCCAGCAGCAAGGCGAUCUGGAACGCCGCCUGCGCGGCGAGGUUGCGCCACAUGGCGUUGCUGAUGAGCGGCGCCGUGCGGCCGAUCCAUGAGCGCCUUGGUGGGCGUGUUCGUGGUGAACGCGAGAGCGCCCAUGGUGUCCAUGAUCAGGUUCACCCAGAGGAGCUUCACGGUGGUGAGCGGCAUCUUGCCCGUGGUGAUCACGGACACGAAGUUGAUGACGAGCGCCGCCACGUUGACGGUGAGCUGGAACUGGAUGAACUUUUGCAUGUUGUUGUAGACGCAACGCCCCCACAGCGUGGCCGUCACCACCUUGUCGAAGUUGUCGUUGAGGAUGAUGAUGUCCGAGCUCUCCUUGGCCACCUUUGUGCCCUGCACGCCCAUGGACAGCCCCACGUCCGCCUCCUUGCGCGUCGGCGCGUCGUUCGUGCCAUCACCGGUCACGGCCACCACGUGCCCCUUCUGCUUCAGCCGCUGCACCAGCGCCAGCUUGUCCAACGGCAGGGACCGCGCCAUGACGCGGAUCCUGUCCACGAUCUCUAG